GUGCAGCAGGCGAGAAUCCUCCGCAAUACACGAAAGUGUGACGGGGUUACCCAAAGUGUCCAAAUUUGGACUGUGGUAGGUGAGUAAUGUCCCCUACUAGAAAGGAGAGGGCAAGGCUGGUGCCAGCCGCCGCGGUAAAACCAGCUCUUCAAGUGGUCGGGAUAAUUAUUGGGCUUAAAGUGUCCGUAGCCGGUUUAGUAAGUUCCUGGUAAAAUCGGGGUAGCUUAACUAUCUGUAUGCUAGGAAUACUGCUAUACUAGAGGGCGGGAGAGGUCUGAGGUACUACAGGGGUAGGGGUGAAAUCCUGUAAUCCUUGUAGGACCACCAGUGGCGAAGGCGUCAGACUGGGACGCGCCUGACGGUGAGGGACGAAAGCCAGGGGAGCGAACCGGAUUAGAUACCCCCGUAGU
This 410-nucleotide ribosomal RNA is filed under the name uncultured microorganism. RNAcentral's name for it is "bacterial SSU rRNA". It matches the Rfam family "Archaeal small subunit ribosomal RNA", at positions 330 to 745 of the family's 1478-position model. The record is from RNAcentral.